Long non-coding RNA from Myotis myotis, 2136 nucleotides. RefSeq lists it as uncharacterized. Lineage: Eukaryota; Metazoa; Chordata; Mammalia; Chiroptera; Vespertilionidae. The transcript is spliced from 3 exons. The record is from RefSeq and is a predicted model, not a curated record.
AUACCCUCUCUCCUCUUUGUCUUUGGCUUCUUCUGUGCCCCUUGCCCAUAUAUUAUUAGCUGAGGCAGCAAGGUUUAUCAAGAAUAAUAAAGACCUUGGAAUCACACUAACCUUGGAAUCCCAUACUUGCCAUGGGAACUUGGACAAGUGGUGUUACUUUUCUAACCUAUUGUCCUCAUCUGCCAUGGGAUAUUAAUCUCUAUUUACCUUAUUGGAAUAAGUGAGAAGUUGGGAGGCAGUUUGGUAUAGAGUAAUCGUUUUCAAAGUAUGGUCCCUGGACCAGCAGCAUCAGACUCAUCUGGGAAUUUGUUAGAAAUGAAUGUUCUCUGGCCCCACCCAAACUUACAAAUGGAAACUCUGGGAUCCCGCAAUCUGGGUUUGAAGAAACUUCCGGUGGUUCAGACAGAUGAGAAUCACUGGUAUAUGAUGGGUAAAGCCGUUGGGUUUGGAGGCAGACAAUUCUGGGUUCCUCUAAAAGUGUCUUAGUUCUGCCUCUUACUAUUUGGGACGCCUGACGCAAAGCAUUUUACUGACCUGCUCCUUAGUUUACUCAUCUGUGAAAUGGAGGUCCUAGUUGUAAAUACGUAGCAAUUAUUUAUUUACUCAUUCAACAAUUCUAAGGUCUAGGGAUACAUCAUUGAACAAAACAGACAAAAAUCUCUGCCCUCAAUUAGUAUUUGUUCUAAUGAGAUUUUUUGAGAAUUAAUUAAAACAAUUAUGAUAAUGACAUAUAAAGCUUAGUGCAACACUGGCACAUGUUGAGCACUCAGCAAAUGGCAGCUAUUAUUCAUGAUUGGGAAAGGACUUGUGAACAGUAAAUGUCAUAUUAAUUAAGCCGUGAGCUCUCUGAGAAUUGUCUGACUCAUGCCUAUGUCAUCCAAAUCUAACAUAGGGCCUGGUGCAGAUUAGGGUUCUGUAAAUAUUUGAUGAAUGUAUGUACAAAAGUUACAGGUAAAUACUGAUUGGGUUUCCUUUAUAAUCCACCUUUAGAGUUGAGAUCUCAAUAAGAGGCUACACUCUCCAAUAAGCCUUCCUCUCCCCUUACAUAUGUAUAUUUCACUCUCUCCUGUUAUUGAAAAGUAACUUUCUCUGCAUUCAUAUGUUGUGACAGGUCUGAAAUGUAGUCGGUGCAUGAUAAAUCUGUGUUGAAUGAAUGAAUGGAUGCCUGGAGCAGCAUAAAAAUUUGUUGGAAAUAGCAGUGGAAUAGGGAGCCUCAGUCUCCUAAAUCUGUAAAAUUGAACUGAUAAUCACUAACCCACCACAAUGCUGGAAGGAGACAGACCAACUUUAAUACCUAACUUCUUCUCAGGAAGAAUUGCUGAAAGUAGUCAAAGGAGACCAGGUGUCUUCCAGGUAUAACUCUGCAUUUUGAGAUUGUGAACUCCCAGAGAGCAGGAACUUGAUGUUCUCUCCUUGCGUCUGAGCACAGUAGGCACUCAUGCACCACCCAGGCUGACUGUUUCAGCUGUUGCAACUGUAGCCAUUCCCAUGAUGUGCUCCCUACCUGGUUCACUGCAGCAUGUUCAGGGAAGUACAACUGACCCUGUGGCAGGAUAGUAAGAAGCUAGGAAAGAGAACCAAGAUGGCGGCGUAAGGUACAGACCUGUGCGUGCUGCCUCCCACAACAACAUUGAAAAUACCAACUAUAAGACAAAACAGCUAUCAUUCAGAACCAUGGGAAAGCUGGCCCAGUGGAAGUUCUACAACUAGAAGGAAAGAAAGAAGAGCAUUGAGACUGAGUAGGAUAUGCAGAGGCACCAAGAACAGAGGUACGGAGUCGCGUGCCAGGCGGGCUACAACUGGAUGUGCAGUUUUUUUCCAUCGAAAGGGGUUACAAACUCUCGAAUCCACUGAGCUUGUUUGGGGUGGGAUUCUGAGGUCCCAGACCCCUACGGGGAGAGGCAGGACGGCCUUGCAGUGGGUCGGAAAGCAAGGGCAGCUUUCUCGCGGAGCUGCUCGCUGGCACUUGGGUACGCGGAGACGUGGAGUCACGGAGAGGUGAGGAGUCACGGAGACACCAUUGCUGUUUGCUCCGCCCUGGUGAUUCCCUGAGACCCCACCCUACUCAAUUUACAUCCCCGCCCAAGCUGUGCCAGAGGCACAAAAGGAACCACCUGCGCUUUUACAGCAUAACCC